AUCAUUAUCAUUUAUCAGUAGGAUAUAAAGUAUUAUUAAGAAACGAAACAGGUCAUAAGUUAAAUUAUAAAUAUACUGGUCAGUAUAAAGUAACGGAAAUAGGAGAUAUAAAUAAUGUUAUAAUAGUUAAUGACAAAAACGAAAAACAGAUAGUUCUUAAGGAUAGAUUAAAGCUUUUUAUUUCAUAAUCACACUUAGUAUGGCCAUACAUAGAUAAUAACAUGUAUACGAGUACAUGAAUAUAUUUGAUACAUAAAUAUUUUUGAUCAUUUCAAUUUAUUAACGUUAUUAAGUACAAAAAAAUUAUGUCAAUAAUAUAUCGACAUCGACAUUGACAGCGUGCCAAGAGCCCACAACCAUUUCAAGUGCAAACGUAAUAUGAACUGCACUCUUAGCAUACCGCGCUUAGAGUCAAGUCAGCAUGGUUUCCAUACUGACCGCUUAUAUACACAUGUAAAUACAUAACUCUCUCUCUCUUUCUCCCGUUUUACAUAACAUAUAAAAUAUAUAAAACGGCUGCUCUGCCGCUGCGCCGACAGCUAGCAAGCCUUAGGCUAAGACAACCAAAAUUCAUUCGAAUAAAGACGAAUAAAGCUACCACAACCUACCAAAGCUUACAUGGCGAUCGUGACAAGUGUGACGAGGAGCAGGGAAGAGGCAACUGGACUUACUAACAUUCUACAUCUGAAGUGUUUGGCAACAAGGCGACAGGAGGAAAUAAAACAAAAAGUCUGACGCACAUCAAGUGGCUGCUAGUUGCACAGUAAACACCGCCUGCAUGGACGACGGCUCAAAAACUUUAUAAUGAGCUUGAAUUUUUAAAAGAAACCCUCAAAAAUAGAGUACCACAAGUCACAACUCACUCAGCAAAUAAAAUAAAAGUUAUAAAUCAAAAACUCAUAGCAAAAACAAAUACUCCCAAGCCACUGCCGAAAAGACCAGAAGUCUGCCCGACGGACUGCCCCGGACCUCUCUACUUUACAACAAUUACGCAUGAAUAAAGCCGAAGACCGGUGCGAAGACCGGCACCGUCCCCGGCCCCGCCUAAGCCAAUAGGGUCCGGACAUCAGCAGCAGAUCAACAAGCGAGAGGGGCAACCCGCCAGUUUCACCUCCGAAGGAGCCGAAAUUUGUAUACCCUUGCAGUAAAAAGAAAUAAUCAACUUUUGUAACACCAUGUGAAAUUUUUAAUGAUAUUAUAAAAACCAUCAUUUCAUUCUUUCUUUUUCAGACCGUUUUUUUUGACGUUUAUAAGUUAACUUAGUCCAAUUUUUAUAAAAUUGAAUUCGAAAUUGUAUUCCCAAUAUUAUAAGAUAAUAUGUCAAAAAGCCCCAAAGCUAUAACUUGUUUCAUAUUAUUUUUCCACCCAUUUUCCGAUUGUUCCUAUGACACCUAUACGAUAUAGACGUCCGAUUUUGAUCAAAUUUAAUUCAAAAUUCAGAACUAAUUAAAAAAUGUGAUUUCCAAACUUAGAACGCUAUAUAAUAGAAAACACCAAAGAUAUAAUUUUUUUUAUUUUUUCCACGAUAGUUCCUAUGGAAGCUAUAAGAUAUAGUUGUCCGAUCCGGCUGGUUCUGACUUAUGUACUACCUGCAAUACAAAGAAGUAUUUUGGAAAAGUUUUAGCCCAAUUGACUCGUCUAGUGAAGCUGAUCAAGAAUAUAUAUACUUUAUGGGGUCAGAAAAGUCUCCUUCAGUGAAAUCAUUAUACCAUCUGCAAGGGUAUAAAAAGAGAACAAAGCGCACAAACAAUAUAUAUUUAUGAUAAAAAAUAUAAAAAUAUUUUAUUUAAUAAGCAACGACAAGGAAAUGAAAUAAAAUAAAGUAAAUCUAAAACAA
Drosophila biarmipes is the source of this 1837-nucleotide long non-coding RNA. RefSeq lists it as uncharacterized. The record is from RefSeq and is a predicted model, not a curated record. NCBI's taxonomy places the organism in Eukaryota, Metazoa, Arthropoda, Insecta, Diptera, Drosophilidae. The transcript has 2 exons.